UGAACGCUGGCGGCGUGCUUAACACAUGCAAGUCGAACGGUGAAGCCAAGCUUGCUUGGUGGAUCAGUGGCGAACGGGUGAGUAACACGUGAGCAAUCUGCCCUUGACUCUGGGAUAAGCGCUGGAAACGGCGUCUAAUACUGGAUAUGAGCUGUGGCCGCAUGGUCGGCAGUUGGAAAGAAUUUCGGUCAAGGAUGAGCUCGCGGCCUAUCAGCUUGUUGGUGAGGUAAUGGCUCACCAAGGCGUCGACGGGUAGCCGGCCUGAGAGGGUGACCGGCCACACUGGGACUGAGACACGGCCCAGACUCCUACGGGAGGCAGCAGUGGGGAAUAUUGCACAAUGGGCGCAAGCCUGAUGCAGCAACGCCGCGUGAGGGACGACGGCCUUCGGGUUGUAAACCUCUUUUAGCAGGGAAGAAGCGAAAGUGACGGUACCUGCAGAAAAAGCACCGGCUAACUACGUGCCAGCAGCCGCGGUAAUACGUAGGGUGCAAGCGUUAUCCGGAAUUAUUGGGCGUAAAGAGCUCGUAGGCGGUUUGUCACGUCUGCUGUGAAAACUGGAGGCUCAACCUCCAGCCUGCAGUGGGUACGGGCAGACUAGAGUGCGGUAGGGGAGAUUGGAAUUCCUGGUGUAGCGGUGGAAUGCGCAGAUAUCAGGAGGAACACCGAUGGCGAAGGCAGAUCUCUGGGCCGUAACUGACGCUGAGGAGCGAAAGGGUGGGGAGCAAACAGGCUUAGAUACCCUGGUAGUCCACCCCGUAAA
Molecule: ribosomal RNA, 763 nt
Filed under: Microbacterium sp. AD-A5
Lineage: Bacteria; Bacillati; Actinomycetota; Actinomycetes; Micrococcales; Microbacteriaceae
Description: bacterial SSU rRNA
Rfam family: Bacterial small subunit ribosomal RNA
Source: RNAcentral